This 526-nucleotide ribosomal RNA is filed under the name uncultured eukaryote. Its description in RNAcentral is "SSU rRNA". It matches the Rfam family "Eukaryotic small subunit ribosomal RNA", at positions 75 to 604 of the family's 1831-position model. The record is from RNAcentral.
UAUACAGCGAAACUGCGAAUGGCUCAUUAUAUAAGUUAUCGUUUAUUUGAUAGUGCCUUACUACUUGGAUAACCGUGGUAAUUCUAGAACUAAUACAUGCUAAAAACCCCGACUUCGGAAGGGGUGUAUUUAUUAGAUACAAAACCAAUGCCCUUCGGGGCUCUUUGGUGAUUCAUGAUAACUAUACGAAUCGCACGGCCUUGCGCCGGCGAUGGUUCAUUCAAAUUUCUUCCCUAUCAACUUUCGAUGUUUGGGUAUUGGCCAAACAUGGUUGCAACGGGUAACGGAGGGUUAGGGCUCGACCCCGGAGAAGGAGCCUGAGAAACGGCUACUACAUCCAAGGAAGGCAGCAGGCGCGCAAAUUACCCAAUCCCGACUCGGGGAGGUAGUGACAAUAAAUACUGAUACAGGGCCCUUUCGGGCCUUGUAAUUGGAAUGAGUACAAUUUAAAUCCCUUAACGAGGAACAAUUGGAGGGCAAGUCUGGUGCCAGCAGCCGCGGUAAUUCCAGCUCCAAUAGCGUAUAU